UACGGAGGGAGCUAGCGUUGUUCGGAAUUACUGGGCGUAAAGCGCGCGUAGGCGGUUUCUCAAGUCAGAGGUGAAAUCCCGGGGCUCAACCCCGGAACUGCCUUUGAAACUAGUAAACUAGAAUCUUGGAGAGGUCAGUGGAAUUCCGAGUGUAGAGGUGAAAUUCGUAGAUAUUCGGAAGAACACCAGUGGCGAAGGCAGCCAUCUGGACCAGUACUGACGCUGAGGCACGAAAGCGUGGGGAGCAAACAGG
RNAcentral lists this ribosomal RNA (253 nucleotides) under uncultured bacterium. RNAcentral's name for it is "partial 16S ribosomal RNA". It matches the Rfam family "Bacterial small subunit ribosomal RNA", at positions 524 to 776 of the family's 1533-position model. The record is from RNAcentral.